RNAcentral lists this transfer RNA (65 nucleotides) under Dipodomys ordii (Ord's kangaroo rat). It matches the Rfam family "tRNA". Rfam says of the family: Transfer RNA (tRNA) molecules are approximately 80 nucleotides in length. Their secondary structure includes four short double-helical elements and three loops (D, anti-codon, and T loops). The record is from Rfam by way of RNAcentral. Lineage: Eukaryota; Metazoa; Chordata; Mammalia; Rodentia; Heteromyidae.
GGUGGCUUAGUGGUAGAGUGCUUGCCUUGCAUGCAUGAGGCUCUGGGUUCGAUUCCUGAGCACCA